UUGGAGGGCAAGUCUGGUGCCAGCAGCCGCGGUAAUUCCAGCUCCAAUAGCGUAUAUUAAAGUUGUUGCAGUUAAAAAGCUCGUAGUUGAACUUCGGGGUUUACCCAUUGGCCAGGCUUAAUUGUCUGUACUGGUGAGAUGAAUCUCUACCUUCUGAGGAACUUUCAUGCCAUUUAUUUGGUGUGAUUGGAAAUCAGGACUGUUACUUUGAAAAAAUUAGAGUGUUUAAAGCAGGCUAACGUCUGAAUACAUUAGCAUGGAAUAAUGAAAUAGGACGGACUGAUUCUAUUUCGUUGGUUUCUAGGAUCACCGUAAUGAUUAAUAGGGAUAGUUGGGGGCAUUAGUAUUCAAUUGUCAGAGGUGAAAUUCUUGGAUUUAUUGAAGACUAACUACUGCGAAAGCAUUUGCCAAGGAUGUUUUCAUUAAUCAAGAACGAAAGCUAGGGGAUCGAAGACGAUCAGAUACCGUCGUAGUCUUAACCAUAAACUAUGCCGACUAGGGAUCGGACGAAGUUAAUUUUAUAAUGACGCGUUCGGCACCUUACGGGAAACCAAAGUGUUUGGGUUC
RNAcentral lists this ribosomal RNA (567 nucleotides) under uncultured Glomeromycotina. Its description in RNAcentral is "SSU rRNA". It matches the Rfam family "Eukaryotic small subunit ribosomal RNA", at positions 548 to 1114 of the family's 1831-position model. Lineage: Eukaryota; Fungi; Glomeromycota. The record is from RNAcentral.